Molecule: ribosomal RNA, 447 nt
Filed under: uncultured bacterium
Lineage: Bacteria
Description: bacterial SSU rRNA
Rfam family: Bacterial small subunit ribosomal RNA
Source: RNAcentral
UGGGGAAUCUUGGACAAUGGGCGCAAGCCUGACCCAGCAACGCCGCGUGAAGGAUGAAGUAUUUCGGUAUGUAAACUUCGAAAGAAUAGGAAGAAUAAAUGACGGUACUAUUUGUAAGGUCCGGCUAACUACGUGCCAGCAGCCGCGGUAAUACGUAGGGACCAAGCGUUGUUCGGAUUUACUGGGCGUAAAGGGCGCGUAGGCGGCGUGGUAAGUCAUCUGUGAAAUCUCCGAGCUUAACUCGGAACGGUCAGAUGAUACUGCUGUGCUAGAGUACAGAAGGGGCAAUCGGAAUUCUUGGUGUAGCGGUGAAAUGCGUAGAUAUCAAGAGGAACACCUGAGGUGAAGACGGGUUGCUGGGCUGACACUGACGCUGAGGCGCGAAAGCCAGGGGAGCAAACGGGAUUAGAUACCCCCGUAGUCCCUGAGCGGGCUGGCAAGGCGCAU